RNAcentral lists this ribosomal RNA (420 nucleotides) under uncultured bacterium. RNAcentral's name for it is "bacterial SSU rRNA". It matches the Rfam family "Bacterial small subunit ribosomal RNA", at positions 358 to 772 of the family's 1533-position model. The record is from RNAcentral.
GGAAUUUUGUGCAAUGGGCGUAAGCCUGACCCAGCAACGCCGCGUGAAGGAUGAAAUCCCUCGGGAUGUAAACUUCGCAAGAACGGGAAGAAUAAGUAAGGGGUACUAUCUCUUACGAUGACGGUACUGUUUGUAAGCUCCGGCUAACUUCGUUCCAGCAGCCGCGGUAAUACGGGGGGAGCAAGCGUUGUUCGGAUUUACUGGGCGUAACGGGCGCGUAGGCGGCCACCGCAAGUCGACUGUGAAAUCUCCGGGCUUAACUCGGAAAGGUCAGCCGAUACUGCGGGGCUAGAGUGCAGAAGGGGCAACUGGAAUUCUCGGUGUAGCGGUGAAAUGCGUAGAUAUCGAGAGGAACACCUGCGGCGAAGGCGGGUUGCUGGGCUGACACUGACGCUGAGGCGCGAAAGCUAGGGGAGCGAA